This 125-nucleotide small nucleolar RNA is filed under the name Echinops telfairi (small Madagascar hedgehog). The record is from RNAcentral. Lineage: Eukaryota; Metazoa; Chordata; Mammalia; Afrosoricida; Tenrecidae.
CAGCAUUGUGCAUAGCCGUUGUUUUUCUUGUACCAUUGGGCCUACAAACAAUGCAAAAGAAACGUCCUUUUUCCACGAGAAACAUCCCUGCAGUGGGUUGUUCCUAUCGACAGGAGGGUACACAU